RNAcentral lists this long non-coding RNA (206 nucleotides) under Carica papaya (papaya). RNAcentral's name for it is "long non-coding RNA (CPAP_LNC011484)". The record is from RNAcentral. Lineage: Eukaryota; Viridiplantae; Streptophyta; Magnoliopsida; Brassicales; Caricaceae.
UAUUGAAAAUUCCUUGAAGUUUGUGAGCCCAACUUUGGGUGAUUGGGCCCAUGGGUAAUUGGUAUUGUCUCCCCAUCGGUCCUAGUUUGUCAUGGGCUUUAUUGUCCUGCAUGUCUUCCUCUUUUAUCGGAAUGUCCUUUGUGAUGGUUCUCGCAUCAAAUCCCUUCUAUCUUCGGUAGAUAUAUGUUGUAAUGGAGGUCCGUAAA